Sander lucioperca (pikeperch) is the source of this 477-nucleotide long non-coding RNA. RefSeq lists it as uncharacterized. The transcript has 3 exons. NCBI's taxonomy places the organism in Eukaryota, Metazoa, Chordata, Actinopteri, Perciformes, Percidae. The record is from RefSeq and is a predicted model, not a curated record.
ACUAACAUUUAAUCUUUAGGAAGAUGGCGCAUGCAGCACACUCGCGUGGAGCUGGUGGCAGUAAAGUUUGCUCAUGUACAAAGCCUGAGAGCUUUAAAACGGUUGAUGGCAAACUGAUAGUGGAAGACAAAUUUGUAAACUUUGUUGUCACUAAAAUGAGGACACUCAGCCAGGAUGAAAUCGUAAUGCUGGCCUCCACUAAUUUUCCGUCUGAGUGGAUUGAGGAGUCAAAGAAGCUACUCUUUGAAGUUUUUCCGAAAACGACUCAAUGAUGUGUUUUGCACUAGGGUCCUCAGAAGGAUAUUAACAAUGUCAAAGCGUGCCUAAAGGUUCUUAACGAGUGUGGGGAAGAUAUCCCAAGAUUUGUAUCGUUUAUCUGGAUGAGCUUCCACCUGUUACAUUCAGCAGCAUUGAUGUAUCAGCACUCCUUGGCAGGAUUGAACAGCUAAAUAAGGAAGUGUCCGGCAUGAAAAAGAU